This 279-nucleotide ribosomal RNA is filed under the name uncultured bacterium. RNAcentral's name for it is "partial 16S ribosomal RNA". It matches the Rfam family "Bacterial small subunit ribosomal RNA", at positions 506 to 784 of the family's 1533-position model. The record is from RNAcentral.
UGCCAGCAGCCGCGGUAAUACGAAUGGGGCAAGCGUUGUUCGGAAUCACUGGGCUUAAAGCGUGCGUAGGCGGAUUUGCAAGUCAGACGUGAAAUCCCGGGGCUCAACCCCGGAACUGCGUUUGAAACUGCAAGUCUAGAAACCGGUAGGGGUGAGUGGAAUUCCAAGUGUAGAGGUGAAAUUCGCAGAUAUUUGGAGGAACACCAGUGGCGUAGGCGACUCACUGGACCGGUAUUGACGCUGAGGUACGAAAGCGUGGGGAGCGAACGGGAUUAGAUA